AUGCAGUCGAACGAGUUCUCGUUGAUGAUCGGUGCUUGCACCGAGAUUCAACAUGGAACGAGUGGCGGACGGGUGAGUAACACGUGGGUAACCUGCCCUUAAGUGGGGGAUAACAUUUGGAAACAGAUGCUAAUACCGCAUAGAUCCAAGAACCGCAUGGUUCUUGGCUGAAAGAUGGCGUAAGCUAUCGCUUUUGGAUGGACCCGCGGCGUAUUAGCUAGUUGGUGAGGUAAUGGCUCACCAAGGCGAUGAUACGUAGCCGAACUGAGAGGUUGAUCGGCCACAUUGGGACUGAGACACGGCCCAAACUCCUACGGGAGGCAGCAGUAGGGAAUCUUCCACAAUGGACGCAAGUCUGAUGGAGCAACGCCGCGUGAGUGAAGAAGGCUUUCGGGUCGUAAAACUCUGUUGUUGGAGAAGAAUGGUCGGCAGAGUAACUGUUGUCGGCGUGACGGUAUCCAACCAGAAAGCCACGGCUAACUACGUGCCAGCAGCCGCGGUAAUACGUAGGUGGCAAGCGUUAUCCGGAUUUAUUGGGCGUAAAGCGAGCGCAGGCGGUUUUUUAAGUCUGAUGUGAAAGCCCUCGGCUUAACCGAGGAAGCGCAUCGGAAACUGGGAAACUUGAGUGCAGAAGAGGACAGUGGAACUCCAUGUGUAGCGGUGAAAUGCGUAGAUAUAUGGAAGAACACCAGUGGCGAAGGCGGCUGUCUGGUCUGUAACUGACGCUGAGGCUCGAAAGCAUGGGUAGCGAACAGGAUUAGAUACCCUGGUAGUCCAUGCCGUAAACGAUGAAUGCUAGGUGUUGGAGGGUUUCCGCCCUUCAGUGCCGCAGCUAACGCA
This 840-nucleotide ribosomal RNA is filed under the name Lacticaseibacillus paracasei. Its description in RNAcentral is "bacterial SSU rRNA". It matches the Rfam family "Bacterial small subunit ribosomal RNA", at positions 55 to 859 of the family's 1533-position model. Lineage: Bacteria; Bacillati; Bacillota; Bacilli; Lactobacillales; Lactobacillaceae. The record is from RNAcentral.